Long non-coding RNA from Gorilla gorilla gorilla (western lowland gorilla), 428 nucleotides. RefSeq lists it as uncharacterized. The record is from RefSeq and is a predicted model, not a curated record. NCBI's taxonomy places the organism in Eukaryota, Metazoa, Chordata, Mammalia, Primates, Hominidae. The transcript has 3 exons.
AUAGGCCUCAUGCCAGACUCUUCAAGGAAUUCAAAGAAACUAGAACACUACCGUGUUUUCAAAUAAUAAUAUCUUAUCAAAUGGUCUUCCCUUCAUUGGACAACAGGUCGGCUUACAAAUCACUGGAAUUCAAAACACAGGACAUGUGCUUUAUUAAUGGGCCAAAGAUCAGCAAGAGGAAGAUGAGGAGCAGACAUGGAAAAGGAUCCCUGAAGGUCCGGUCUCUGCCUGCACCUGGAUGCUGCAUCAUCAGAAGUAUUGUCCUGCUGCUUUGCCUUUCUCUCAAGAGACUAUAAUAGAUUUACUACCCUGAGAUGGAACACAGAGGUUGGAUAUUCUGGAUUCUACCCAGGAAGAGUUGCCCACCCCUGAGGAAACCCACUCACUUAUGUAACAGCACCCUGUUUUUCCUUGAGGAAUCCACCUGC